Rhineura floridana is the source of this 4692-nucleotide long non-coding RNA. RefSeq lists it as uncharacterized. The record is from RefSeq and is a predicted model, not a curated record. Lineage: Eukaryota; Metazoa; Chordata; Lepidosauria; Squamata; Rhineuridae. The transcript has 4 exons.
GUCACCCUCCAGAUGUGGUUAGGCUCCAACUCCUGGGAACUCCUACAAGUAUGGCCAGUGGUCAGGGAUGGCGGGAACUGUAAUCCUGCUUUGAAGGUCACUGGUUCCCCAAUUCUGUUUUAUUCUCAUAAGAACAUAAGAGGAGGCUACUGGAGCAGGCCAGUGGCCCAUCUUGUCCAGCAUCUUGUUCACAUAGUCGACAACCAGAUGCCCAAGGGAAGCCUGCAAGCAGGAUCUGAGCGCAAAAGCAUUCUCCCCUCCUGCAGUUUUCAAGCCAACCCUCAGUAUAUCUUCUGAUGCUCCAAGUGGUACCCUCAAGAGCUAUGAUCUCCAUCCCUGAAGAUAGAAUGCCUUUUAGCAAAAUACUUAUCCAAGAGAGCAAGUUUCAAGGUGGAGUACAGUCUCAACAAGACAAGGAGCCAUCUCCUGGGUGUGCCAUCUCUUGUGUUCAACCAGAAAUCCACAGACACAUCAUGGACCACCUGAAUGAAGCUUGUGGACCACUGGUGGCUGGCGGAUCAUAGUUUGAGAACCCCUUCCUUAUAUGGGCUUUAAGGCUUUUGACCAUGGGAACUCCUGAUCUUCUUAUCUUGGAUUUUUCUCCAUGCAAGCAACUGCUGCACUGGCACCUUGUUGCACGAAUGCAACUUUGGGGGUUCUUAUGUUCUGAAGAUUAUUAUAUUCUCUUGGGAUAUGUUGUAUUGCUGUUGCUAGCUUUGCUACCUGAUUUAAACUUCCAAAUCUUUACAAAAUUGUAAUUGUGUUUGCAUUAUUCACUUAUAAAUUAGCCCCAUAGAAUCCAAGAGAUUGGCAUAUGUGCACAAAGCUUACGCAGAGGUUAGACAAUGUCUGCUCUUUAUUGAGCAUUCAUUCUGAAUUGUUUGUGGGCAGAUUAUAUAACAACGAGCAUUCAUCCUGACUUGCUUGUGUGGAGGUGUACCCAUCUUCCCCUCAAUCAGUCAUUUAUCCCACAAUUUUUAGUGCGCUUCCCUUUCUCCUAACUGAAAAAUGUCAACUUAAAAUAAUGGAUUUGUUGCACCAGAAUGCUUUGAUCCACUUUAAUUGUGCAAAUUGUAAUUUCCAGUAUGCAACUGAAUCCCUCCUACAAAAUGCUGAAAGUCUAUGGAGGCAACCCCCAAAUUUUGUUAUAAUUCCCUGAUACAACAAGGUGGCUGGUGUAGCAUUAUUCCUUGUAGAGGCUGACCAAUAAGGGCAAAUGGGGCACUGCCCCACCAACCUCAGUCUGCUCCCACCUGCCUACCUUCUUGCUUACAACCAGUCAAGGAGUGGUUCUACCUGUCAUUGGCUCUGCCUCUGCCUACUGUUGGUCUCCCUCCCUUCCGCCUGCAGAGUCAACUUAUUCUAGUUUUGUCCCCAUCCUCCUGCCUGCAGAGUUCUACAAGGGCAACACUGGAGGAGGAAGCUGAUAAGCAGUGUCAUCCCCUCAACUGGUUCUAACUCAGAAGGCAGGUGCUAGCUGGCAGAUAAGGGCAGACUGAAGUUGGUGGGGCAGUGCCCCACUAGCCCCAAUGGACCAGCCUCCACUGAAAUGGAUACCCCUAUGCUGCCUCAGAUUAUAAUGGUAAGUGCGUGGAAUGUUCUCCCUAGCAAGGCCUUUGUUGACAUCUUUUUGGUGCCAGUUAAAAACUUAUCUUUCCCCCCCUCCCCAGGCAAUUGAUAGAUUGAGAUGACAUUGUUUUGUGAUUGAUGGGCCGACAAAGCUUCCUGUGGCUGUUAUGGGAAUCAUUUGUUCUGCUUUUAUGGUAUUACAUAUUUAUAUUUAAGUUUUUAAUAUGUUGUCAGUUGCUUGGAGAACUUUGGGUAAGAAGCAACUAACAAGUUUUAUUUAUUUAUUUAUUUAUUUAUUUAUUUAUUACAUUUAUACCCUGCCUUUCUUUUCAUGAUAGAAACCCAAGGUGGCAUACAUCUGGUUCCCAAGCGGUCUCCCAUCCAGGCACUGACCAGACCUGACCCUGCUUAGCUUCAGCAGGGAGCGGGCCUUAUGUGCCGUCAGACUAUAGCCUGGGAUUAUUAAUAUUAAACAAUAUUAUUGUUUAAUAAAUAAUAAUAAUAAACAAUAAGUUUCCCCUUCCCGUGCCCUGAACUAAAAAUCAUAGAUUUCACUCUUCCCCACCCUAAAAAUGAUACCUUCAAUUGAUUACCCCCUUUCUACUACCUCCAUAAAAAGUGUUGGGCAAAUACUUUGGUCCAGAGCAACUUCUUCCACCCUUUCUUUGUGACCAUUUCUUUAUAUUGUAUUGAGAUAUAAUUGUGUUAAUUGCCUAGCACAGAAAGGCAAGGUACAAGUUUGAUACACUAAAUAAAUCGAAGAAAUCUGAUUGGCUUUUCCUGGCAUAGAAAUAAAGUAGCAAGGAGAGUUGUGUGUGUUUAAACCUGUAGUUUACAAAUGUUCUUUUACUUCCUCCCCAGGAUAAUUCAAUUUUCAGGAAAAGUGAAAGUGGGGCAGGGGGCUUGUUUUCAGAAAAGCAAGCCAAGAUAACACGCCGGAGAGCCUCUGGUACUCAUCCAUAGUCAUUUUUUCCUUCACACCCACUUCCUGCUGGUUCCAAUUAUGUAGGUUAUGUUCCUGCCAGUUUAGAUGUGAUGACAGCUUUAAUAAUUGAUAUUAACAUUCUUAAUGUGCUCGCUUUCUGCAGUGUGUGCACAUUUGUGGGAGCGUGUGUCUCCUCUUUUGUGGUUCAGACUGCAUUUAAGUAAAAUAAUCUAAAUAAUCAAAUAAAAAUGGUGCAAUGAAGCCCUCUUUGGAAACAUAAUGGACAACUUGAUGUUUAAAGUUAAACUCUAGAAGGUCAGUUGUUGUAGCGGCUAGAGUUUGAGAUGAUUUAAGUACUUAACUGCCUGUUGGAUCAGGCCAAUGGCUCAUCUAGUCCACUGUCCUGUUCCCAUAAUGGCCAACCAGAUUCCCCAAUGGAAAACUCUCAAGCAGGACCUGAGCACAAGAGCACUCUCCCCUCCUGCAGUUUCCAGCAACUGGUAUCCAGAAGCAGACUGCCUCCGAAUGUGGAGGCAGAGCAUGGUCAUUGUGUAAAUGCAUACAAAUCCUUUCCCUUGUUCAGAGCCAUAUCCACUAAAUUUGGAACUGAGUUCUCCACUUCUUAUAGAAGAGCAGUUCAACCAGAGACUUUCUGCCUGCCAAAAGUGAUGCCCUUAAAGCAGGUUGAGGAAUCUUUGGCCUCCACAUGUUGCUGAACUACAAUUCCCAUCUUCCUGGCCAUUGGCCAUGUUUGCUGGGGCUGAUGGAAGUUGUAGUUGAGUGAUUUUUGACUGUCUUACAGAAUAGGGAAAGAACCAUAACUCAGUGGUAGAGCAUCUGCCUUGCAUGCAGAAGGUCCCAAGUUCAAUUCCCAGCAUCUCCAGGUAGGGGUAGGAGAGAAUUCUGUCUGAAACCCUGGAGAGCCACUGGCAGUCGAUGUAGACAAUACUGAACUAGAUGGAUCAAUGUUCUGACUCUUUAUAAGGCAGCUUCCUAUGUUCCUAUGUAGUUCAGCAACAUUUGGAGGGCCAAAGGUUCUCCACCCUUGCCCUAAAUGGGUCUGUCCCUGAAUCUGUGGCUUUCUUUAGAAUAGGGGUACCCAGACUGGUCUGCAGCCCAGCUUCAUUCAGUCUGACAUGUCUUAAUGUGUCUAUAAAAAUGCAAUUAAAAACCACACAGCAUCUAACACAGCACAUUACAAUUUCUACAACAGGCAGAAAAACCAUUAAGUGGUCUACUAAGACCCUCAACAAUUUGCAAGUGGUCUGUGGGAGAAAAAAUGUUCCGGAACCACUGCUGUAAUAGCCUUUGGACUAUACUGACCCCAUUUUCUACAGGGUUUCUACAGGAUCCAGUAGAUCCUGAACCAGCUCAGUUCCACCUCCGCCCUACCCUUGGAAAGGCCCGUUUCAGGGAUGGGGGAGAAAUUCAAUUUUGUUUGUAAUUUAAUGAGAAACUACUGAAUUCACACUUCUCAAACCAGUAAUACAUGAACUUUUAAAGAUGUUUUGUUUUUAGACUUUUUUUAGUUUUGUCUCUUGUUUGCUGCCCUGGGCUCCUUCUGAGAGGAAGGGUGGGAUAAAAAAAUUAAUAAAUAAUAACAAUAAUAUGCAAAAGCUACCCUUCACUUCCCUGAAUUUUACAACACAGCUCUCCAAGCAAUAUGUACAAAAAUGGAUGUAUUAGGGGAACAACAUGUGCACUAAAAGUGCAUCUAUUUGUGAAAAUAACAUACAAAAAUGAAUUAUGUUAGGGGAAAUUGCAAAAAUGUGUUUCAAUGGGAGAAAUGUGCACUAAAAUGCUGAUUAAUUUUCAUGGGGAAAAAGAAUAAAAACGCAAAAUGGUGCAGCAAUGUGGAUAACUGAAUUUAAGAGAAAAAUGAAACACAGAGAGAAGCCGAAUUUGAAAGGCUCGUCCAUUUCUAGCCACCAGCAGGCAGCCCACUGGUGUCACUCCCACUACACAUUCAGCAGCCAGCAGGAGGCUGGCUCAGCCAGGAGUGCUGGGCAGAGGGACAACUCUGCCUAAUCCAACCCCACCCCAGUCCUGCAUGAAGGUGGGUGGGAUUGUUCUGCUUCUCUCAAGGAGCUCCCAUUGGAUGUGGAACACCUUACCCUCUAUUGCUCUGCCAGUAGAGGUUCAGCAGGCGCCCUCUGUUUUAACCUUUAAACCUCUGCUGAAAGGUUUUCUAUGCUGCC